This 241-nucleotide ribosomal RNA is filed under the name uncultured bacterium. RNAcentral describes it as "partial 16S ribosomal RNA". It matches the Rfam family "Bacterial small subunit ribosomal RNA", at positions 100 to 334 of the family's 1533-position model. The record is from RNAcentral.
CCGGCACGGGUGAGUAACACGUAUGCAAUCCACCUGUAACAGGGGGAUAACCCGGAGAAAUCCGGACUAAUACCCCAUAAUAUGGGCGCUCCGCAUGGAGAGCCCAUUAAAGGGAGCAAUUUUGGUUACAGACGAGCAUGCGCUCCAUUAGCCAGUUGGCGGAGUAACGGCCCACCAAAGCGACGAUGGAUAGGGGUUCUGAGAGGAAGGUCCCCCACAUUGGAACUGAGACACGGUCCAA